AGUGGCGGACGGGUGAGUAACGCGUGAGAAUCUGGCCUCAGGACGGGGAUAACAGUUGGAAACGACUGCUAAAACCCGAUGUGCCGAAAGGUGAAAGUAUUAAUAGCCUGAGGAUGAGCUCGCGUCUGAUUAGCUAGUUGGUUGGGUAAAGGCUGACCAAGGCGACGAUCAGUAGCUGGUCUGAGAGGAUGAUCAGCCACACUGGGACUGAGACACGGCCCAGACUCCUACGGGAGGCAGCGGUGGGGAAUUUUCCGCAAUGGGGGCAACCCUGACGGAGCAAUACCGCGUGAGGGACGAAGGUUUUUGGAUUGUAAACCUCUUUUCUCAGGGAAGAACACAAUGACGGUACCUGAGGAAUAAGCAUCGGCUAACUCCGUGCCAGCAGCCGCGGUAAUACGGAGGAUGCAAGCGUUAUCCGGAAUUAUUGGGCGUAAAGCGUCCGCAGGUGGCAAUGUAAGUCAGUUGUCAAAGCGCGAGGCUUAACUUCGUACAGGCGAUUGAAACUACAUAGCUAGAGUAUGGUAGGGGUAGCGGGAAUUCCUAGUGUAGCGGUGAAAUGCGUAGAUAUUAGGAAGAACACCAGCGGCGAAAGCGCGCUACUGGGCCAUAACUGACACUGAGGGACGAAAGCUAGGGGAGCGAAAGGGAUUAGAUACCCCUGUAGUCCUAGCCGUAAACGAUGAGAACUAGGUGUUGC
RNAcentral lists this ribosomal RNA (700 nucleotides) under uncultured bacterium. Its description in RNAcentral is "bacterial SSU rRNA". It matches the Rfam family "Bacterial small subunit ribosomal RNA", at positions 94 to 826 of the family's 1533-position model. The record is from RNAcentral.